CGGGCCGUGGCGCAGCCUGGCUAGCGCGCUUGCUUGGGGUGCAAGAGGUCGCGAGUUCGAAUCUCGCCGGCCCGACCA
RNAcentral lists this transfer RNA (78 nucleotides) under Terriglobia bacterium. RNAcentral describes it as "tRNA-Pro". It matches the Rfam family "tRNA". From Rfam's summary of the family: Transfer RNA (tRNA) molecules are approximately 80 nucleotides in length. Their secondary structure includes four short double-helical elements and three loops (D, anti-codon, and T loops). The record is from RNAcentral. Lineage: Bacteria; Pseudomonadati; Acidobacteriota; Terriglobia. RNAcentral also lists the same sequence under 3 other names.